CCAUGUUCAAAUUUAGGUAAAAAAAUUGUGGGGAAGAUUGACGGUACUCUGAAAUUUUAAAAAUGACAACUAUUUAGAUAGAAUUUAAAGUUGAGAUUUGUCACUUUCAAAUUUUUUUUUUUUUCUCACAUGGAAUUUUUAAAUUUCUUUUUUUUUUUUUAAUAUCCAAACACGUUUUGGUUUUCAAUUUAAAAAUUAUGAUUUUUGUCAAAAUCCUAAUGGACCGGAAAGAUACAUAAUGUUUUUGUAUUAAAAAAGAAAGUAAAGAAAUGUCAUGUCAUUUGUCUUUGUUUUAUUUUUCUGGAUGGCAAGGGAGCUUAUGAAUUAUAAUAAAGAUAUGUAAAUAUUUGGAACAUAAAACAUAUCUUAUCGAUACAAGUGGAUAACUGAUAAUGAGCAUGAGUGAAAACAUUAUGUACAAGAUAAACAUAUAGCCCUAGUUUCAAGAAAGGAGAGGUGUAAGAAACUGAUAUGUAAUUGAUUUGUGUUAUAUUAUUCAAGAGGCAAAGCCACAAACUUAUAGAUACAAAAGCAUCCUAAUAUGGUUCCUACGAUCAAGC
RNAcentral lists this long non-coding RNA (560 nucleotides) under Prunus persica (peach). Its description in RNAcentral is "long non-coding RNA (PPER_LNC007596)". Lineage: Eukaryota; Viridiplantae; Streptophyta; Magnoliopsida; Rosales; Rosaceae. The record is from RNAcentral.